Molecule: long non-coding RNA, 1091 nt
Organism: Leptinotarsa decemlineata (Colorado potato beetle)
Lineage: Eukaryota; Metazoa; Arthropoda; Insecta; Coleoptera; Chrysomelidae
Gene: cue
Source: RefSeq, a predicted model, not a curated record
AUCAGAAUUAAAUUGUUGUAAUAUGAAUGUCUGUGAAACGCCUUGUUUUGAACCCAAAGAGGACAAGAAGAAGCUACUGAACAACAUGGAAGGCGAUGAGCUGUACUAAAAACUAUCUAAACAAGAUAGGCUGUGACUGUAUAAAGUAUUAAAAAGUUGUUAAGUUUUUGAAAUUUAUAUUUAUAAAUGAAUGUACCUUUGAAUUUUAUAGCUAUGUGUUCAAGGAGAGUUAGUUGAAAUUGGCAGGUUUAUUCAGAGUGGUCCAGUAUUUUCAGAUUGCAAGAUAAGUUGUGUAUUUGCAUAGUUCAAAUGAACUUAUUCUAACAAUUUUUUUCUGUGAAAAAUAAAAAAACGAGAUCAUCAGCUCACGGCAGAUAAAAUUUCCAGUACUGCGUACUUAGAUAAUAUACCUCGAAAUUGAAAAGUUUAUUUAUGUUUCAUCCAGAUUUUUCAUGGGUGACACAAUAGUUAAUAUGUAAUAAUUUCAAUUUGAAUCCUACAUUAUUCAUAGGAUAUAACUUCUCUACCAUACAUUCUAUAUUUGGUAGAGCUAUAUUCAAAAAUUUCUCAUAACUAUGAAGAUUACAGUUGAACUCACUUUAUUUCAAAUAGGCCUUGCCAAUUACUAUUCUACAAACACUGAGACAACGAAUUAUUGGGCCCCUCUGUAUAAUUGAUAAAGCAUGUUGAUAUUGACGUCAUUCCUAAAAAUAUAUGUAAGAAUUGCCAUGACGAGUCAAGUGCUUUCUUGAUCCAUCUUUAAGCAGAGAAUACUUAAUUUCUAGGAGUAUACUUAAUUUACAAACAUUUGAGUAUAUAACAGUAUAGAAACCAAAGGGAUGUUCCAUGAAAGACUUUAAGCAUUUACUCGACUUCCAUUUGGUGGUACAUAGAAUCUUUAUUGAUGAGAUUGACACCACUUUUUCAUUGUUUUCUGCAAAAUGAACAAAGUUCACUGCCAAUAUAUAGGUCACCCUUGGUUGUUUAUGUUAUAUCCAAAUAACUUUCAUGGAAUUAUAUGUCCAUUCUUAGAAGGUAGAUUUAGAAAGAUUUUGUUUUUCUUUGUUCAAAUAAGUUAUUGUAUUUGACCA